This 207-nucleotide ribosomal RNA is filed under the name uncultured bacterium. RNAcentral describes it as "partial 16S ribosomal RNA". It matches the Rfam family "Bacterial small subunit ribosomal RNA", at positions 568 to 774 of the family's 1533-position model. The record is from RNAcentral.
UGCGUAGGUGGUGAGGUAAGUCGGGUGUGAAAUCUCCAAGCUCAACUUGGAAAUGGCAUUGGAAACUACCUCGCUGGAGGUUUGGAGGGGGGACUGGAAUUCUCGGUGUAGCAGUGAAAUGCGUAGAUAUCGAGAGGAACACCAGUGGCGAAGGCGAGUCCCUGGACAACACCUGACACUGAGGCACGAAAGCUAGGGGAGCAAACA